GCGCCAUUAGCUCAAUGGUAGAGCAACUGACUCUUAAUCAGUGGGUUCGGGGUUCGAGUCCCUGAUGGCGCA
This 72-nucleotide transfer RNA is filed under the name Candidatus Dietzia intestinigallinarum. Its description in RNAcentral is "tRNA-Lys". It matches the Rfam family "tRNA". From Rfam's summary of the family: Transfer RNA (tRNA) molecules are approximately 80 nucleotides in length. Their secondary structure includes four short double-helical elements and three loops (D, anti-codon, and T loops). The record is from RNAcentral. Lineage: Bacteria; Bacillati; Actinomycetota; Actinomycetes; Mycobacteriales; Dietziaceae.